GACGUAGGGCGCGAGCGUUGUCCGGAAUUAUUGGGCGUAAAGAGCUCGUAGGCGGUUUAUCGCGUCUGCUGUGAAAACCCGAGGCUCAACCUCGGGCCUGCAGUGGGUACGGGCAGACUAGAGUGCGGUAGGGGGAGAUUGGAAUUCCUGGUGUAGCGGUGGAAUGCGCAGAUAUCAGGAGGAACACCAAUGGCGAAGGCAGAUCUCUGGGCCGUAACUGACGCUGAGGAGCGAAAGCAUGGGGAGCGAACAGG
RNAcentral lists this ribosomal RNA (254 nucleotides) under uncultured bacterium. RNAcentral's name for it is "partial 16S ribosomal RNA". It matches the Rfam family "Bacterial small subunit ribosomal RNA", at positions 524 to 776 of the family's 1533-position model. The record is from RNAcentral.